RNAcentral lists this ribosomal RNA (503 nucleotides) under uncultured bacterium. Its description in RNAcentral is "partial 16S ribosomal RNA". It matches the Rfam family "Bacterial small subunit ribosomal RNA", at positions 30 to 523 of the family's 1533-position model. The record is from RNAcentral.
AUUGAACGCUGGCGGCAGGCUUAACACACGCAAGUCGAGCGGGGUGAUGGUGCUUGCACUAUCACUUAGCGGCGGACGGGUGAGUAAUGCUUAGGAAUCUGCCUAUUAGUGGGGGACAACAUCUCGAAAGGGAUGCUAAUACCGCAUACGUCCUACGGGAGAAAGCAGGGGAUCACUUGUGACCUUGCGCUAAUAGAUGAGCCUAAGUCGGAUUAGCUAGUUGGUGGGGUAAAGGCCUACCAAGGCGACGAUCUGUAGCGGGUCUGAGAGGAUGAUCCGCCACACUGGGACUGAGACACGGCCCAGACUCCUACGGGAGGCAGCAGUGGGGAAUAUUGGACAAUGGGGGGAACCCUGAUCCAGCCAUGCCGCGUGUGUGAAGAAGGCCUUAUGGUUGUAAAGCACUUUAAGCGAGGAGGAGGCUCUUUUGGUUAAUACCCAGAAUGAGUGGACGUUACUCGCAGAAUAAGCACCGGCUAACUCUGUGCCAGCCGCCGCGGUAA